GGAAGGAUCAUUAACGAAUCUAAAGUCGAUGCGUUGUGCUGGUGGCAACACAUGUGCACGCGUGUCGCAUACAUCCACACACCUGUGAACCCUAGACUCUGUGGUCGAUCGAACGCCCGGACUCGUCCAUCGCGUGUGGGGACUUUAUGUCCUCCGUUCGCCCAGGGUAAUUUUUACAUACGCCGAAUGUGAUAGAAUGUAUCUGUGCAUAACGCGCAACUAUACAACUUUCAACAACGGAUCUCUUGGCUCUCGCAUCGAUGAAGAACGCAGCGAAAUGCGAUAAGUAAUGUGAAUUGCAGAAUUCAGUGAAUCAUCGAAUCUUUGAACGCACCUUGCGCCCUUUGGUAUUCCGAAGGGCACGCCCGUUUGAGUGUCAUUGUAAUCUCACCUCCACGGUUUCUCAUCGUGGUUGUGGAUCUGGACGUCGUCGGCUCGUCGACCCGUCUGAAAUGUAUGAGCGUACCCUGCCGUGCAGCGUAUCUGGUGUGAUAAGCAUCUUCACCGGAGUAAUGCCUCCUUUGGCGCGUCUGUGGUGUGGGCUCUGCGCUUCCAAUCGUCCUCACAGGACAAUCUUUGACGAUUUGACCUCAGAUCGGGCGGGACUACCCGCUGAACUUAAGCAUAUCAAUAAGCGGAGGAAAAGAAACUAACAAGGAUUCCCCUAGUAGCGGCGAGUGAAGAGGGAAAAGCUCAAAUUUUGAAUCUGGCGUCUUCGACGUCCGAGUUGUAAUCUAGAGAAGUGUUUUCCGUGCCGGACCGUACAAAAGUCUCCUGGAACGGGGCGUCAUAGAGGGUGAGAAUCCCGUAUAUGGUAUGGACUCCCGGUGCUCUGUGAUACACUCUCAACGAGUCGAGUUGUUUGGGAAUGCAGCUCAAAAUGGGUGGUAAAUUCCAUCUAAAGCUAAAUAUUGGCGAGAGACCGAUAGCGAACAAGUACCGUGAGGGAAAGAUGAAAAGCACUUUGGAAAGAGAGUGAAACAGUACGUGAAAUUGUUGAAAGGGAAGCGUUUGAGGUCAGUCGCAUCUUGCGGAACUCAGCCUGGCUUCUGCCUGGUGUACUUUCCGUAGGAUGGGUCAGCGUCAGUUUCGACUGGAGGAGAAAGGCUUGGGGGAGGUGGCUGUCUUCGGACAGUGUUAUAACCCCUCGUUGUAUACUUCAGUUGGGACUGAGGAACGCAGCGCGCCUUUUGGCCGGGGUUCGCGCCCUCGGUACGCGCUUAGGAUGCUGGCAUAAUGGCCUUAAGCGACCCGUCUUGAAACACGGACCAAGGAGUCUAACAUGCCUGCGAGUGUUUGGGUGUCAAACCCGAGCGCGAAAUGAAAGUGAAAGGUUGGGAUCAUGUACUUGUGCACCAACGCCCGGAGCAGACCUUCUGUGACGCAUCUGCGGCAGAGCAUGUAUGUUGGGACCCGAAAGAUGGUGAACUAUGCCUGAAUAGGGUGAAGCCAGAGGAAACUCUGGUGGAGGCUCGUAGCGAUUCUGACGUGCAAAUCGAUCGUCAAAUUUGGGUAUAGGGGCGAAAGACUAAUCGAACCAUCUAGUAGCUGGUUCCUGC
Molecule: unclassified non-coding RNA, 1559 nt
Filed under: uncultured Sebacinales
Lineage: Eukaryota; Fungi; Basidiomycota; Agaricomycetes; Sebacinales
Description: sequence contains 18S rRNA gene, ITS1, 5.8S rRNA gene, ITS2, 28S rRNA gene
Rfam family: Eukaryotic large subunit ribosomal RNA (bases 586-1559)
Source: RNAcentral